This 165-nucleotide ribosomal RNA is filed under the name uncultured bacterium. RNAcentral's name for it is "partial 16S rRNA". It matches the Rfam family "Bacterial small subunit ribosomal RNA", at positions 355 to 511 of the family's 1533-position model. The record is from RNAcentral.
UAGGGAAUCUUCCACAAUGGGCGCAAGCCUGAUGGAGCAACACCGCGUGAGUGAAGAAGGGUUUUCGGCUCGUAAAGCUCUGUUGUUAGAGAAGAACGUGCGUGAGAGCAACUGUUCACGCAGUGACGGUAUCUAACCAGAAAGUCACGGCUAACUACGUGCCCG